AGAGUUUGAUUAUGGCUACAGGAUGAACGCUGGCGGCGUGCCUAAUACAUGCAAGUCGAGCGAGGUAGCUUGCUACCUAGCGGCGAACGGGUGAGUAACACGUAGGUAACCUGCCUUUAAGAUUGGGAUACCCAGACGAAAGUUUGGCUAAUACCGGAUAACAACGGAGAUCGCAUGACCUCCGCUUGAAAGGUGCGUUUGCACCGCUUUUAGAUGGACCUGCGGCACAUUAGCUAGUUGGUGAGAUAACAGCCCACCAAGGCGAGGAUGUGUAGCCGACCUGAGAGGGUGACCGGCACAAUGGGACUGAGACACGGCCCAUACUCCUACGGGAGGCAGCAGUAGGGAGUUUUCGGCAAUGGGCGAAAGCCUGACCGAGCAACGCCGCGUGAGUGAUGAAAGGUCUUCGGAUUGUAAAGCUCUGUUACGAGGGACGAAACCUGCGAUCAGGAAAUGGGUUGCAGCUGACGGUACCUCGCCAGAAAGUGACGGCUAACUACGUGCCAGCCGCGGC
This 514-nucleotide ribosomal RNA is filed under the name uncultured bacterium. RNAcentral describes it as "bacterial SSU rRNA". It matches the Rfam family "Bacterial small subunit ribosomal RNA", at positions 8 to 518 of the family's 1533-position model. The record is from RNAcentral.